GAGAGGCUUCCUCGAUAACAGGGUUCAUGUAGAUACUGUAACCCAUUUAUUGUGAUUUAAAAAACAAUUUAGAGUGAAGGAUAUUGAUUAGUUUCUUCCUUCCUUUUUUUUAAUACCGGCACAUGACAGCACAGUUAUAAUGCAUACUUAAUGCUGCAAAAUUCACGUCAUAAACAGUUGUGAGUGUUUGCACAAAAACAUCUACAGGUGCUCUGUGCAUGUACAGUGAUAUUGAUAUAACGCUUGAAGAAUUUGACAUUACUACAUCAGUGGAAGAGCUCUUUGCGCAAGACUCACUAACCACCCUAUUAGAAAAUGAGCUAAAAGAGUGCCUCAGAUUCGUUUCAAUAUUUAAACUGUCAUUUGUGUGUUGAAGUGCAAA
Molecule: unclassified non-coding RNA, 382 nt
Filed under: Oreochromis niloticus (Nile tilapia)
Lineage: Eukaryota; Metazoa; Chordata; Actinopteri; Cichliformes; Cichlidae
Description: nontranscribed spacer
Source: RNAcentral